RNAcentral lists this ribosomal RNA (459 nucleotides) under Triticum aestivum (bread wheat). Its description in RNAcentral is "partial small subunit ribosomal RNA". The record is from RNAcentral. Lineage: Eukaryota; Viridiplantae; Streptophyta; Magnoliopsida; Poales; Poaceae.
AUGCUGGAGCGCAGGCUAUCGCCGUGGUGGGCUUCCAUGAUGUCGCGGGGCGAUCGGCUGGCCAUGUGCCGUGAUGUGCUCUCGGCCAUGCCCACACACAUCAUAAUUGCGAUGGCCAUCAAGCCGUCGACCCUCAAGCGUAUCAACCGCCUGAUACGUAGCUUCUUGUGGCAUGGCCGCAAAGAUGUGAGCAACAGUCACUUUAUGGUCAGUUGGCGCCGGGUAUGCAUGCAUGUUUCCCUCGGCGGCCUCGGCAUCCCGGACCUUCAUCGUGCCGACAUCCCACUGCGCGCCCGGUGGAUGUGGCUGCAGAGAACGGAUGCCUCACACCCGUGGCAACACCUUCACAUCCCACGCUGGCCGGAGGUUCAGGCCAUCUUCAAGGCCUCAACCACUUGGAUGAAGGAAAUAUGCCCUAGAGGCAAUAAUAAAGUUAAUAUUUAUUUUCUUAUUUCAUGA